GGAUUCCAUGGGGGAACCCUGACGCAGCAACGCCGCGUGGAGGAUGAAGUCCUUCGGGACGUAAACUCCUUUCGAUCGGGACGAUUAUGACGGUACCGGAAGAAGAAGCCCCGGCUAACUUCGUGCCAGCAGCCGCGGUAAUACGAGGGGGGCGAGCGUUGUUCGGAAUUAUUGGGCGUAAAGGGUGCGUAGGCGGUUUGGUAAGUCUGAUGUGAAAUCUAUGGGCUCAACUCAUAGUCUGCAUCGGAAACUGCCGGGCUUGAGUAUGGGAGAGGUGAGUGGAAUUCCUGGUGUAGCGGUGAAAUGCGUAGAUAUCAGGAGGAACACCUGUGGCGAAAGCGGCUCACUGGACCAUAACUGACGCUGAUGCACGAAAGCUAGGGGAGCAAACAGGAUUAGAUACCCUGGUAGUCCUAGCCCUAAACGAUGACUGCUUGGUGUGACGGGUACCCAAUCCCGCCGUGCCGUAGCUAACGCGUUAAGCAGUCCGCCUGGGGAGUACGGUCGCAAGGCUGAAACUCAAAAGAAUUGACGGA
This 536-nucleotide ribosomal RNA is filed under the name uncultured bacterium. RNAcentral's name for it is "bacterial SSU rRNA". It matches the Rfam family "Bacterial small subunit ribosomal RNA", at positions 359 to 917 of the family's 1533-position model. The record is from RNAcentral.